This 266-nucleotide signal recognition particle RNA is filed under the name human gut metagenome. Its description in RNAcentral is "Bacterial large signal recognition particle RNA". It matches the Rfam family "Bacterial large signal recognition particle RNA". Rfam says of the family: The signal recognition particle (SRP) is a universally conserved ribonucleoprotein involved in the co-translational targeting of proteins to membranes. The record is from RNAcentral.
CCGCGCCAGACGGGGAGUUAGCGGUGCCCUAUACCUGCAAUCCGCUGUAGCAGGGUUGGAUUCCCGUCCCGAGGCAUUCGUUUGUAGGGUCUGGCACUGAUAAGGAGUGUUGAUGAUUUGGUCCUGUGCAACUGGCGUCCGUGAACCAUGUCAGGUCUUGACGGAAGCAGCAUUAAGCGGAUGAGCUGGUGUGCCGCAGGAUGGCCUGAUUGGAGCCACCUGUCAGGGUUCCGCCUGGAAACGUUAUGUCGAGGGAUGGGUGCGCG